UACGUAGGUGGCAAGCGUUAUCCGGAAUUAUUGGGCGUAAAGCGCGCGCAGGCGGUCUCUUAAGUCUGAUGUGAAAGCCCACGGCUCAACCGUGGAGGGUCAUUGGAAACUGGGAGACUUGAGUGCAGGAGAGAAAAGUGGAAUUCCACGUGUAGCGGUGAAAUGCGUAGAGAUGUGGAGGAACACCAGUGGCGAAGGCGGCUUUUUGGCCUGUAACUGACGCUGAGGCGCGAAAGCGUGGGGAGCAAACAGGAUUAGAAACCCCAGUAGUCC
RNAcentral lists this ribosomal RNA (273 nucleotides) under uncultured bacterium. RNAcentral describes it as "partial 16S ribosomal RNA". It matches the Rfam family "Bacterial small subunit ribosomal RNA", at positions 524 to 796 of the family's 1533-position model. The record is from RNAcentral.